RNAcentral lists this ribosomal RNA (583 nucleotides) under uncultured bacterium. RNAcentral's name for it is "bacterial SSU rRNA". It matches the Rfam family "Bacterial small subunit ribosomal RNA", at positions 212 to 809 of the family's 1533-position model. The record is from RNAcentral.
UAUUCGGUAAAAGAUGGGCCCGCAUCUGAUUAGCUAGUUGAUGAGAUAAUAGCCCACCAAGGCAACGAUCAGUAGCCGACCUGAGAGGGUGACCGGCCACAUUGGGACUGAGACACGGCCCAAACUCCUACGGGAGGCAGCAGUGGGGAAUAUUGCACAAUGGGCCAAAGCCUGAUGCAGCAACGCCGCGUGAAGGAAGACGGUUUUCGGAUUGUAAACUUCUAUCAAUAGGGAAGAAAGAAAUGACGGUACCUAAAUAAGAAGCCCCGGCUAACUACGUGCCAGCAGCCGCGGUAAUACGUAGGGGGCAAGCGUUAUCCGGAAUUACUGGGUGUAAAGGGAGAGUAGGCGGCAAGGUAAGCGAUAUGUGAAAGCCUUAAGCUUAACUUAAGGAUUGCAUAACGAACUAUCUAGCUAGAGUACAGGAGAGGAAAGCGGAAUUCCUAGUGUAGCGGUGAAAUGCGUAGAUAUUAGGAAGAACACCAGUGGCGAAGGCGGCUUUCUGGACUGAAACUGACGCUGAGGCUCGAAAGCGUGGGGAGCGAACAGGAUUAGAUACCCUGGUAGUCCACGCUGUAAACGA